GAUGAACGCUGGCGGCGUGCCUAAUACAUGCAAGUCGAGCGAACGGACGAGAAGCUUGCUUCUCUGAUGUUAGCGGCGGACGGGUGAGUAACACGUGGAUAACCUACCUAUAAGACUGGGAUAACUUCGGGAAACCGGAGCUAAUACCGGAUAAUAUUUUGAACCGCAUGGUUCAAAAGUGAAAGACGGUCUUGCUGUCACUUAUAGAUGGAUCCGCGCUGCAUUAGCUAGUUGGUAAGGUAACGGCUUACCAAGGCAACGAUGCAUAGCCGACCUGAGAGGGUGAUCGGCCACACUGGAACUGAGACACGGUCCAGACUCCUACGGGAGGCAGCAGUAGGGAAUCUUCCGCAAUGGGCGAAAGCCUGACGGAGCAACGCCGCGUGAGUGAUGAAGGUCUUCGGAUCGUAAAACUCUGUUAUUAGGGAAGAACAUAUGUGUAAGUAACUGUGCACAUCUUGACGGUACCUAAUCAGAAAGCCACGGCUAACUACGUGCCAGCAGCCGCGGUAAUACGUAGGUGGCAAGCGUUAUCCGGAAUUAUUGGGCGUAAAGCGCGCGUAGGCGGUUUUUUAAGUCUGAUGUGAAAGCCCACGGCUCAACCGUGGAGGGUCAUUGGAAACUGGAAAACUUGAGUGUAGAAGAGGAAAGUGGAAUUCCAUGUGUAGCGGUGAAAUGCGCAGAGAUAUGGAGGAACACCAGUGGCGAAGGCGACUUUCUGGUCUGUAACUGACGCUGAUGUGCGAAAGCGUGGGGAUCAAACAGGAUUAGAUACCCUGGUAGUCCACGCCGUAAACGAUGAGUGCUAAGUGUUAGGGGGUUUCCGCCCCUUAGUGCUGCAGCUAACGCAUUAAGCACUCCGCCUGGGGAGUACGACCGCAAGGUUGAAACUCAAAGGAAUUGACGGGGACCCGCACAAGCGGUGGAGCAUGUGGUCUAAUUCGAAGCAACGCGAAGAACCUUACCAAAUCUUGACAUCCUUUGACAACUCUAGAGAUAGAGCCUUCCCCUUCGGGGGACAAAGUGACAGGUGGUGCAUGGUUGUCGUCAGCUCGUGUCGUGAGAUGUUGGGUUAAGUCCCGCAACGAGCGCAACCCUUAAGCUUAGUUGCCAUCAUUAAGUUGGGCACUCUAAGUUGACUGCCGGUGACAAACCGGAGGAAGGUGGGGAUGACGUCAAAUCAUCAUGCCCCUUAUGAUUUGGGCUACACACGUGCUACAAUGGACAAUACAAAGGGCAGCGAAACCGCGAGGUCAAGCAAAUCCCAUAAAGUUGUUCUCAGUUCGGAUUGUAGUCUGCAACUCGACUACAUGAAGCUGGAAUCGCUAGUAAUCGUAGAUCAGCAUGCUACGGUGAAUACGUUCCCGGGUCU
RNAcentral lists this ribosomal RNA (1372 nucleotides) under uncultured bacterium. RNAcentral describes it as "bacterial SSU rRNA". It matches the Rfam family "Bacterial small subunit ribosomal RNA", at positions 28 to 1381 of the family's 1533-position model. The record is from RNAcentral.